CUCCUGAGGAUGCAGGCAUACUUAAAAAAUCAGGGAAUAACAAAAUAGGUUAGAAAAAAUGCAAGGUUUUUGAAACACAUAUCUUGAAAAAAUCAAUCCUUUUCACACACCAAUAAGUUACUGCUAGGAGUAUACAGUUCACUGCUUUUACUGCUCCCACCCACAACCCUCUUUUCAAGGCUCUCCUGCCUCAACUUAAAUUUUCUAUACUAUACUUGAACUCAAGGUAAAAUUUAAAUUCACUAUGGAAAGUUACACAAACCACUGAGGUAAACAUGUCUCAAGAUUUUACUUUUUCUUAAUCUUUUAUUAAUAUUGUCCUUUAAAGCUGUUAAAUCUUUUUCUAUAUAACAAGACACAGUUAAACUGAGAUAUUCAAACACUAUAGAAGCAUUAAAAUAUAUGAAAAGCUUUCCUUAUCUGACCCAAACUGCCAUUAUUUUCUUCUCAAAAGAAACCAUAUCAAUUAUUUUGUGUAACCUUCAGGAAGCCUUCCUUGUGUGUAAAAAAAUGCAUAAUAUUUAAUCUAUUUAUUACAUGAAUGGGAUAUUAUGUUAUGCUUGUUCUUAGACUUCAAAUGAUUCUAAUUUUUCAAUUUAUCCUAAAGCUAUUUUAUUCCUCUGUGGAAGCCAAUAAACUGUUUUUCUUUCCUGUUGUCCUACUCAAAGCCAGAUGUAUUUUCUUAAGGCAUUUUUGUCAGUUUAACUUUCUCUCAUUUUUGUCUUUUAAAAAGCAUUCUGUGAGGCUGGAACGUUGCAGGGUUUUUUCCCUCCUUCCUCACCCAGCUGUUUCUGCUUCUCAGGAUGCACACCUGUGAAGCUGGGUCACUUGGGAGAAAUGCUUGGGUUUUAUUUACAGCAAAAAAGAAUGUGAGUUUCACAUGCAAAUGUUUAAAAUGGUCAUUUUGUUCUCAGGGAUCAACUGCAAGACAGAUUUUGGGGGAGUGGUCAGGGACAUGAAUAGAAACUCUUAAGGUCAAAAUUGUCUGAUCCUUAAAUAUUUUUUGAGGGCCUACUCUGGCUCCUCAGCAUAUUCUGUGUACUGGGGAUACAGAAGUAGAAAAAAGAAGAAUAAAGAGAAAAAUCUUGGCUUCA
Molecule: long non-coding RNA, 1094 nt
Filed under: Oryctolagus cuniculus (rabbit)
Lineage: Eukaryota; Metazoa; Chordata; Mammalia; Lagomorpha; Leporidae
Description: lncRNA (ENSOCUG00000030361.1)
Source: RNAcentral